UGCACUCGAACAAGGAAGUUUCCAAGAAAAGGGCACCAAAGUUUAUAUUUAGAUCUUUUCCAGGCAUAGACCAUAGUAAUGCAGAUAUAAAAAUUGUAGAGUUCUUUUAUUAGUUCUCAGAUGAAAUAGACAUGCGAAAUGUAAUAAUGGUGAUAAGCUGAUGACAUCUAUUCUUACCCAAAAAUAUUCACUUAAGAUAUUGGCAGGUUAAGAAAAGGAUAGGCUAGUGGAGAGCAAUAUUUGGUUUUAACCAAAAAACCGAUAAAACCAGCCCAUUAAGUUCUUCGGUUUUGGUUAGUAGAGGGGGCAGGUUGGUCAGUUUUGACCUCAGUUUAAUUGGUUAAUUCAAUCGUUCAUCGGUUUUUGCAUCCUAGAACCAAACCAACCGAAAAACCAACUGAUUUUAUAUUAUUUUUAAAUUAUUUAAAAUAUAUAUUUAUGUUUUAUAAUAUAUAUAAUAGACAUUAAUCAUAUAAACCUAACCCAAUAACCCUUGACCCAAUCAAAUUACCCAAGGUCGGUUCAGUUUAGUUAGUUUUCAAAACUAAAAUCGGUUAGGUCGGUUUUCUCAUGUUAAAAUCAGCUAAGUUCGAAAAAAACUCAUACAAAACCAUCCAAUUAAACCAAUUGAUCUCCCCUAGGAGAGGCUAGCCUCCUUUGAAACUCAUUUCCCUAGGCGGAAACUACUAGGCCUUUACACCCAGCCCCCAAAAAUAAUAGUCUUCUGAAGAAUAACACAAAGUCGUUGCGUUAAUGUUUGUAUAUGACAUCAUGAUUACCUACAUUAUUAAGCAGAUGAUAUACAUUAUGAUCACUAGCAACGCCUAAAACUGCACUCAGAAUCACACCACCAUAAAUUCAUACCGUGAAAUCAUGAUCAAGAAUUUAAAUGGCGACCACCACAAGACCUAAACACGUUCGAAAUUCAUAAGUUCAAUCACUGUUAGAUGCUCGUAAAAAACAAGGGUCUAUGUCCAUUAGAUGCUCGUAAAAAACAAGGGUCUAUGUCCAUCUUAGAGCAGAAGAAAACCCAACAGUGAAUCUCAUUCCAAAGUAGUAUCCUGUCGUUAAUUUUUAUACUAGACGAAAUUAGCAUGAAUUUACUAACCUAGGCCAAAUCAACAAACAGUUUCUAAACUAUAUUAGUAUUGUAACAAUAGCUACGUUAAAGGAAGUAAAAUUUCCAACUUCUAAAUAAAUAGAUAGA
This 1207-nucleotide long non-coding RNA is filed under the name Gossypium barbadense (sea-island cotton). Its description in RNAcentral is "long non-coding RNA (GBAR_LNC020459)". Lineage: Eukaryota; Viridiplantae; Streptophyta; Magnoliopsida; Malvales; Malvaceae. The record is from RNAcentral.